GGUCUGAUGGUCUAGUGGUAGGAUUCUCGCUUUGGGUUCAGGCAUACAGUUCAGUCCUGGCGCAAACUUGCGAGAGGUCCCGGGUUCAAUCCCCGGUCAGACCC
This is a non-coding RNA of Hypoxylon fragiforme, 104 nucleotides long. Lineage: Eukaryota; Fungi; Ascomycota; Sordariomycetes; Xylariales; Hypoxylaceae. The record is from the annotation of a RefSeq genome assembly.